GAGUGGGCAUGUGUCCUUGUUGGUCUCGGCAGGUCUCAGAGGUGACUACCACACAUUGAAGGAGUGGCAGUAACAUCCUGGUCCUGUGGAGAUUGUCAGUAGUCUCC
RNAcentral lists this microRNA precursor (107 nucleotides) under Mus pahari (shrew mouse). RNAcentral's name for it is "microRNA 697 (MGP_PahariEiJ_G0007557.1)". Lineage: Eukaryota; Metazoa; Chordata; Mammalia; Rodentia; Muridae. The record is from RNAcentral.